GGGCGCAUAGCUCAGUUGGUCAGAGCAUUCGGCUUACAACCGAAAGGUCACUGGUUCGAGUCCAGUUGCGCCCA
This 74-nucleotide transfer RNA is filed under the name Lipingzhangella rawalii. RNAcentral's name for it is "tRNA-Val". It matches the Rfam family "tRNA". Rfam says of the family: Transfer RNA (tRNA) molecules are approximately 80 nucleotides in length. Their secondary structure includes four short double-helical elements and three loops (D, anti-codon, and T loops). The record is from RNAcentral. Lineage: Bacteria; Bacillati; Actinomycetota; Actinomycetes; Streptosporangiales; Nocardiopsidaceae.